RNAcentral lists this transfer RNA (72 nucleotides) under Oceanobacillus indicireducens. Its description in RNAcentral is "tRNA-Gly". It matches the Rfam family "tRNA". From Rfam's summary of the family: Transfer RNA (tRNA) molecules are approximately 80 nucleotides in length. Lineage: Bacteria; Bacillati; Bacillota; Bacilli; Caryophanales; Bacillaceae. The record is from RNAcentral.
GCGGGUGUAGUUUAGGGGUAAAACCUCAGCCUUCCACGCUGAUGAUGAGGGUUCGAUUCCCUUCACCCGCUC